UUGUGAAGAGUUUUCCUGACUUAAACACCCCCUGGGUGGAAUCGAAAAGCAGAAGGAUCUGAGUCCUCGCUGGCUGCCCCCCUCCUCCGAUUUGCCCCCUUUGCCCCUUUUUAACCCCUGUAAAAACCACUCAGCACAGUCUUACACUUAAUAAAUGCAGGGUGAAGGGCAGUGCCUUCAGCAGAUAUUACUGAGCAUGCUCAGUCCACCAUAAGUAGCACAUUCCUCCAGGGAGCAGUUUUCUGUACUGCACCCGUGGGAGAGUUAAUUAAUCCACCCCAAUGGGCGAUAGCAGCUAUGUCUGUGGGAGAAGCUAAAAUAAAUAAAUGCCAAUUGACUCUCCUUUGGAAGGAGGCAGGAAAUGGGAAAUGCCAACCAGAGGGGAUUUCCCUGGCAGAUAAGAUUUCCACCUCUCCCAGAACAGGCACCGUUGCCGCAAAUGGUGUCCAGUGCAGGAGAGUUGGCAACCCUACUGGCAGAUGAAACAUUUUCCCCACAGACCCUAGAAGAGGCUGAAAAGCUGAAGAAUUAUCAGCUCUGGUCUGAGUAUGAGCAGCAGCAUUACCUCCUGCAAAUGGAAACAAACCUGUUUGACUAAGCGAUUGGCUGAACAAGAAGUGGAACUGAGUGGACGUACAGGCUCUGAAAUUUUACAUUGUUUUGUUUUUGAAUGCAGCACGUCAUUUUUAAGUGAGCCAAGGAGGCAAGACAGAUCAGACUCCUGAGAGGGGUGCAGAGGUGGGGAGAGGCUGAGAGCCACUGGCAUGUAGGACCAACAGAGAGAGCUCACUGGAGAACAGACAGUGGUGGGGGGACCACUUCAUCCGUUUACUGGACUACAACUGGGGGACAAGAAGAGCACCCUGCAAUCCUUCAGGAAGCCAAAAGGAGAGCACACUUUGUGUUCAUGAAAAGGGGGAUUUCAUCAAUGGUGGCAGGUGACCCCGGGAGUAUGCUUUAGCCAUGGAUUUUACCUGUAAAAGUUAAUCUCAGCCUAUCUGAAUCCUGUUAUACCUGGUGUUUGGUGUGUAACCUGUUGGUCUUAUUGCUUCAUUCACUAUCUCUUCAAUCUUAGCUAAUAAACUCCUGUUUGUUUUCACUAAAAAUAUAUCUCAGUGCUGUGAUGUUCUAUUGGUGCUGAUCCUCAGUUGAAUCAAACAAGCUGGUGUCCCAACGGCUUACCUGGGAAUUUCUGAGUAUCCAGUGGAGAGGGGCUGGACACUACAGAAGGAUACGUCAGAGGGGCUGGAGACGAGGUUGCACCUAGUGUUAUUCUGCAAGGCAAAGUAAGGACUGGCAGAGCCCUGAUGAGUUUGUG
This is a long non-coding RNA of Malaclemys terrapin pileata, 1318 nucleotides long. RefSeq lists it as uncharacterized. The record is from RefSeq and is a predicted model, not a curated record. The transcript is spliced from 3 exons. NCBI's taxonomy places the organism in Eukaryota, Metazoa, Chordata, Testudines, Emydidae.